RNAcentral lists this transfer RNA (85 nucleotides) under Felis catus (domestic cat). It matches the Rfam family "tRNA". From Rfam's summary of the family: Transfer RNA (tRNA) molecules are approximately 80 nucleotides in length. RNAcentral also lists the same sequence under 2 other names. Lineage: Eukaryota; Metazoa; Chordata; Mammalia; Carnivora; Felidae. The record is from Rfam by way of RNAcentral.
GCCUGGGUGGCUCAGUCGGUUAAGCAUCCGACUUCGGCUCAGAUCAUAAUCUCGCAGUUUGUGAGUUUGAGCCUCACAUCGGGCU